CUAUUUGAGACCAAUUCCAUAUCACUAUUCAAAAAUUGUAAAUAUUAAAAAAGGGAAUGGAAGCAUGCUAAGAUUUGUGGAGUGAUAUUUUAUGCACUUCUGUUAGUUUGGAUGUUUAUAAUCAUAGGCAAUGGAUUAAUUUGCAAAAAUUUUGAUUGGACUGGAUAGUCAUAUAUGUCCAAACUCCAAAGUCCACUGUCCACUAUAUAUUUGUAAUAGUACUUGUCGUACUUAUAGCAAUAGCACCCGUCAAUUGUUGCUAUCAUAUCAUAUAAUUUUGGAAAAGUAUGUUUUAUUAAGAUCCCUAAGUAUCCAUGCCAAGGACAUAUGUAUUG
This 335-nucleotide unclassified non-coding RNA is filed under the name Hevea brasiliensis (rubber tree). Lineage: Eukaryota; Viridiplantae; Streptophyta; Magnoliopsida; Malpighiales; Euphorbiaceae. The record is from RNAcentral.